This 76-nucleotide non-coding RNA is filed under the name Serratia marcescens. RNAcentral's name for it is "Fluoride sequence". It matches the Rfam family "Fluoride riboswitch aptamer (crcB RNA motif)". Lineage: Bacteria; Pseudomonadati; Pseudomonadota; Gammaproteobacteria; Enterobacterales; Yersiniaceae. The record is from RNAcentral. RNAcentral also lists the same sequence under 2 other names.
CGUUCACAAGGUGAUGGUGUUCCACCUUUCCCAACCGCCGCGUUCGCUCGAACCGGAUGAUGACGCCUGAUAUACA